CCUACGGGAGGCAGCAGUGGGGAAUUUUGGACAAUGGGCGCAAGCCUGAUCCAGCAAUGCCGCGUGCAGGAUGAAGGCCUUCGGGUUGUAAACUGCUUUUGUACGGAGCGAAAAGGUUCCCUCUAAUACAGGGGGGCUCAUGACGGUACCGUAAGAAUAAGCACCGGCUAACUACGUGCCAGCAGCCGCGGUAAUACGUAGGGUGCGAGCGUUAAUCGGAAUUACUGGGCGUAAAGCGUGCGCAGGCGGUUCUAUAAGACAGUUGUGAAAUCCCCGGGCUCAACCUGGGAAUUGCAUCUGUGACUGUAGAGCUAGAGUACGGCGAGAGGGGGAUGGAAUUCCGCGUGUAGCAGUGAAAUGCGUAGAUAUGCGGAGGAACACCGAUGGCGAAGGCAAUCCCCUGGGCCUGUACUGACGCUCAUGCACGAAAGCGUGGGGAGCAAACAGGAUUAGAUACCCUGGUAGUCCACGCCCUAAACGAUGUCAACUGGUUGUUGGGUAAUUUACUUUACUCAGUAACGAAGCUAACGCGUGAAGUUGACCGCCUGGGGAGUACGGCCGCAAGGUUGAAACUCAAAGGAUUGACGG
This 588-nucleotide ribosomal RNA is filed under the name uncultured bacterium. RNAcentral describes it as "bacterial SSU rRNA". It matches the Rfam family "Bacterial small subunit ribosomal RNA", at positions 338 to 916 of the family's 1533-position model. The record is from RNAcentral.